This 441-nucleotide ribosomal RNA is filed under the name uncultured bacterium. Its description in RNAcentral is "bacterial SSU rRNA". It matches the Rfam family "Bacterial small subunit ribosomal RNA", at positions 958 to 1397 of the family's 1533-position model. The record is from RNAcentral.
AACGCGAAGAACCUUACCUGGCCUUGACAUGCACGGAACCCUUCAGAGAUGAGGGGGUGCCUUCGGGAACCGUGACACAGGUGCUGCAUGGCUGUCGUCAGCUCGUGUCGUGAGAUGUUGGGUUAAGUCCCGCAACGAGCGCAACCCUUGUCCUUAGUUGCCAGCACGUAAAGGUGGGAACUCUAAGGAGACCGCCGGUGACAAACCGGAGGAAGGUGGGGAUGACGUCAAGUCCUCAUGGCCCUUACGGCCAGGGCUACACACGUACUACAAUGGUCGGUACAGAGGGUUGCCAAGCCGCGAGGUGGAGCCAAUCCCAGAAAACCGAUCUCAGUCCGGAUCGGAGUCUGCAACUCGACUCCGUGAAGUCGGAAUCGCUAGUAAUCGCGGAUCAGCAAUGCCGCGGUGAAUACGUUCCCGGGCCUUGUACACACCGAUAGC